This 344-nucleotide ribosomal RNA is filed under the name Citrobacter freundii. RNAcentral describes it as "bacterial SSU rRNA". It matches the Rfam family "Bacterial small subunit ribosomal RNA", at positions 1 to 341 of the family's 1533-position model. The record is from RNAcentral. Lineage: Bacteria; Pseudomonadati; Pseudomonadota; Gammaproteobacteria; Enterobacterales; Enterobacteriaceae.
AAAUUGAAGAGUUUGAUCAUGGCUCAGAUUGAACGCUGGCGGCAGGCCUAACACAUGCAAGUCGAACGGUAGCACAGAGGAGCUUGCUCCUUGGGUGACGAGUGGCGGACGGGUGAGUAAUGUCUGGGAAACUGCCCGAUGGAGGGGGAUAACUACUGGAAACGGUAGCUAAUACCGCAUAACGUCGCAAGACCAAAGAGGGGGACCUUCGGGCCUCUUGCCAUCGGAUGUGCCCAGAUGGGAUUAGCUAGUAGGUGGGGUAACGGCUCACCUAGGCGACGAUCCCUAGCUGGUCUGAGAGGAUGACCAGCCACACUGGAACUGAGACACGGUCCAGACUCCUA